RNAcentral lists this ribosomal RNA (717 nucleotides) under Acanthamoeba sp. AcL-BO6. RNAcentral's name for it is "SSU rRNA". It matches the Rfam family "Eukaryotic small subunit ribosomal RNA", at positions 588 to 1107 of the family's 1831-position model. The record is from RNAcentral. Lineage: Eukaryota; Discosea; Longamoebia; Acanthamoebidae.
CAGCUCCAACAGCGUAURUUAAAGUUGUUGCAGUUAAAAAGCUCGUAGUUGGAUCUAGGGACGCGCAUUUCAAGCGCCCGUGCCAUCGGGUCAAACCGGUGGCUGCGUUGGCGUUGCGGGCUCGGUCCGUCGGUGCCCCACAAAGGGCUAUCGGCGUGUCAACCGGCCCGCCCGUCCCCUCCUUCUGGAUUCCCGUUCCUGCUAUUGAGUUAGUGGGGACGUCACAGGGGGUCCAUCGUCGUGCGGGUCAAACCGUGCGGCGGUGGGUCCCUGGGGCCCAGAUCGUUUACCGUGAAAAAAUUAGAGUGUUCAAAGCAGGCAGAUCCAAUUUUCUGCCACCGAAUACAUUAGCAUGGGAUAAUGGAAUAGGACCCUGUCCUCCUAUUUUCAGUUGGUUUUGGCAGCGCGAGGACUAGGGUAAUGAUUAAUAGGGAUAGUUGGGGGCAUUAAUAUUUAAUUGUCAGAGGUGAAAUUCUUGGAUUUAUGAAAGAUUAACUUCUGCGAAAGCAUCUGCCAAGGAUGUUUUCAUUAAUCAAGAACGAAAGUUAGGGGAUCGAAGACGAUCAGAUACCGUCGUAGUCUUAACCAUAAACGAUGCCGACCAGCGAUUAGGAGACGUUGAAUACAAAACACCACCAUCGGUGCGGUCGUCCUUGGCGUCUCGGUCCUUCACGGGGCCGGGGCGCGGGGGUGGCUUAGCCCGGUGGCACCDGUGAA